Gopherus agassizii (Agassiz's desert tortoise) is the source of this 2293-nucleotide long non-coding RNA. The record is from Ensembl. Lineage: Eukaryota; Metazoa; Chordata; Testudines; Testudinidae.
UUUUUUUUCCUUUUCACAAGUAGUCAUUCACCUAUUUUAUUUUAGAUCAUCGGAUCCAAGUUCUGCACCAGAAGCAUAUGAUGCAUGAACAUAAACUUUCAGAAAAACAAGAUGAAGUGUUAAGCACACCCAUGACUAUGACAGACGUAAAAGUUUCAGGGCCAUCUGUAAAAACACAGUUAUUACCAAGUGGAGUGCACAUUGAUGUGCAAGAGAUGCGAUCUUCUAACAGUGUGACAACAGAAGCAGCUCAGGUUUCUAAGAGUUCUUCAAUGCUGAUUAUUAACAAGCUGCAGAAGAUUUUCCCAAAUAUACUUUUGGACACUCAGACAAAAUAUAAGGAAGUGGAUAAUGAAAAAAAAGAAGACGGUAAAAAGAAAAGGAUGUUGUUUCCUGAUUUGGAGCAAGAUAAAAAUACUGGUAAUAACAAAGACAGAUUAACAAGAACUAAUAUUACUAUAAGAUUCCAUUCCAAUGAUAAUUCAAGCCAAACUCAGAUUGAUAUUUACAAUUUAAAAAAUUCAAGAGCGAAUCCUGAGGUGCAUAUUGUCGCCAGCAAUAUUAUUGACCAACAAAAUAAAAUAAAUUCAGUAGUAGUACAAGAUGAUGUUUUGCAAGUGACAGUAAACAGUUCGCUGGAUAAGAAAAUACAGAAUAAUACAAAAGUAAGAGAAAAAAGUCUUGCAAAAAUUGAGGCUGGAAAUAUGGAAAGAAACUCCACAGGUAGCAACAGGAAAAAACUUCUUAUAGCAGAUCUGCCUGAGUCUGCUACUUAUCCACAUCGUCAGUUGAACCGUAUUUUACAGACGCUGGAAGAUCACAUGGGUGUUCAAACAUAUAAUUUCCAAGGUGUAAAAGAAAACCAAUCUCAAGUGUCAGUGAGAAUGCUGAAGAAUGUAUUACAGGACUUACAGAAAGAAUAUAAAACACAGGUGCCUUUAACAGGUAGUGAGAGUAUGAACUCUUCAGUCAUGGAAAACAUUCUUCAAAAUUUAAAAAAACAUAAAGAGAAGUCAGAAUCCAGUGAAAAGGAAAACAAGGCACAGACACCUUUUGAGGGACAAAGUCGCAGUCUACAAGUCUCAGAUGAAAAUAUAGACCAAUUUAAAGUAACACUUGUGCCAGAGCCUACAAGUGUCACAACAAAGGCAAACAUGAAAGAUGCCAAACGAUUUGAAUUUUUUAAAGAGCAUGAAGGUAUUCAUGACAAGAAAAAAGCAAAAGCUGCAGAUCUUAAAGGCCUUCUAAAGCACAUUAUCAUAGCCUGUGUAGCGGUCACUGGUUUGAUAUUGGCUGUAAUAGUGUUGAUGCACAUAUUUACUUCGAUAUUUGCGAAGAACAAACAGGAACCAGUAAUAACUAAUACUUACAACAUUUACAAAAGAGAAAACCCAACAAAAGAUGAAGCCAAAUCAAUCACAGAAAUAGACUGCAAAGAACUGAAAAAAGACGUUGCUGUAGUGAAAAAUCAGUCUGAACAUAGUAACCUGAAUCAACUACCACUGCACUUAUCAACAGACAAAUCUAAAGAAAAUGGUCAAGACUUAGAACAUUCAGAAAAACAACCAGACCAUAAUACUUCCUCCAUUAACUCUCCAUCAAAAAGGAUUGAUGAAAGAAAUAUAAUUCUGUCAACAUCAACUGAACCUUUAGAGUGUAACCACUCUUCACAAAUGCCCCCUGACAAUUGUUCAUCUUCAGAAAUGAAAACAUGCAAGAACCACAGAACUAGACCUAGAACUUUAAAAACAAAUCAAUCUUGUUGUCACAAACCAAGACAACAUUGUACAGAACCAAAAGAACAUGGUUAUAAAAGACUACAGGAUAAAGAUACCGCUCUUCACAGAAAGCAUUUAAACCAUCAAAGAUCAUCUAGGCAUGACAGACAUAGAUCAAAGUCCACAAAAUGUAAUACAAGUCAUUCAAACUGUUCACUUCUAGAUGGAUGUUGUCAUGACUCAAGUCCUAGUGAUGAUUCUUCAUCAGAUGUAUUCAUUUCUUCAGAUACAACUGCAAAAACACAUCUAUCAGAAAUAUCCCAACAUGAUGGUUCAAAGUGUACAUAUUCUCAGCACAGAAUGGGUUCUUGUAGCUCUGAUUCAUAUUCUGAUUAGAACAUUAGUAGCACUCAAAGGAGUAAACAUUAUCAUUCUGCAUGAUCAGUGAUAUCCAUCAGCAUGUAGUACCAAUCAUUUUACCACGUGUGAUCAUGAUAGUCCUGGGUGUUAUGGAGGUUGUUUUCUUUUGUAAUCAUGCUAAUAAAUAAAUAUUUUUAUAUUAGGCUUCUGUACUU